RNAcentral lists this long non-coding RNA (2327 nucleotides) under Fukomys damarensis (Damara mole-rat). RNAcentral's name for it is "lncRNA (ENSFDAG00000024117.1)". The record is from RNAcentral. Lineage: Eukaryota; Metazoa; Chordata; Mammalia; Rodentia; Bathyergidae.
CGCCCUGCCUUCGCGCGGCCUCUGCCCUCCCACUCUCUGCGCGGAGCCCGCGCCGGAGGUGGGCGUCAGCGCCUGAUUGGGCGGAGCCUGGGAACCAAUUCCUUGCGGCCUGGCGACUUCCCGAGAGGUCCGCGGAGCUCAGCGCAAGUGGACACAGUUGUUGCUUGCAGUCCUCGUCGGUGCGGCCGACCCAGCCUGGGCGGCAGGAGGCAGGGAAGGAGGGAGAGCUGCUUUGUGGGGACUGCCAUGAAGCUUCGUGGGCGAUGGGUCUGCGCGACACCCCGGGUCAGAGAGACCCAAGCACACCCCAGGUCCAGUUCCCAACUCCCGGAGACAAAGCAGCCCUUGUGAAGUAGGAGCAGGGUCCUCUUGCAAGGAGCUUUGCUUGGAAGACAACACCGCUCUGGCCUUACACCUCUCUCCAGUGCUCCUGAGCAGAGACAAGAGCCUGCAUUUGCAUGGUUGGAAGCGGCUCUUGGGGCUUCUGCCCAGGAUGAGUUAGAUUUGGUGACAGUGCCACCUCCAGCAGCACCACACGCUGUGACAGUAGAGAAAAUAGCAGGCUGAGCCUUCACAGUUCUUUACCUUGCACCAACGGCCACGGAACAUGAACACGACUCAGAGCCUCUCCCUUUUAUACUCUUCAGCUGCAUGGGAGCGAGAGUACCACCCACACAUUCCAGAGGGAAACAAUAACCACCAUUAUGGGUUACAUCUGCUACCACCUGAACUCACCCGUGGCUAUGGGCGAGAGCACAUCCUUGCCAGCGAGGUGACUCAAAGUUCAAUCAUGGCUAGGCCUGUGUCAAGGCUCACCAUAAUGGCUCGCCAUAAUUCCCCCAUCUCUCUUUGAUAGCAUGAAGAAUGCUAGCAAUAGGCCAUUCAUCAUGCAUCAGCCAAGGGACCUCUGUCUUAGGCGGCAGAAGUCUUCCAUCUCCUUACCCGUCAUCAGUUGCAGGGCUCAUGUCCCAAUACGACCUGUCUUAGGUUGGUAGACAGAAGCUUCCGUCCUUACCCGUCACUGAGUAUCCCAAGGUGGGGGAUCUAAGCACGCCAAGCCUGAGCCAAGUAAAUGGCUACGCACGUUGUAUCAUCAUCCAAAGAAGCCUGUACAGCCAUAGCUAAAUGCUCCUAUUUAAACUGGGAACGCUUCCAGCAUCGAUAUGAGCAGUAACCCAAAAUACACAAACCAAUCAUAACAGUAAUAACAAUAAGCCAUAUAACAAUCCAAAAAGGUGAAAACAUCUUUUUCAAAUUUUUCCAAACUUCUGUAGCAAAAUCUAAAUCAAGCCGGAUAUAGUGGGCAUGAACACCAGAUAAGACCUCAAUGUCCAAUGACAACUGAUUAGUUGCAGUUAGAAAUGUCCGAUUCCAAGACCCUCGCAACAAUGAAGAAAGUCAUCUAACUUCCUCAGAAUGGUUUUUGACAGGAAAGGGAGUAAGGCAGAGUUGUUGAAAUCUGGGAUCACAGUCCAAUCGAGUAUGCAACCACAAUCCUUCAACUUCUUUGUUUAAUAAGUCCAUUUGUUGCUGAAAUAUAGCCAAACCAGUUGUGGGAGACUGACUGCAAGACAGCUGGCUGCUUGCAUUGCAGUUCCCUGAGCGAAGGAGUUGCUAUGUUGUAAGUUCUGAUUGGCCGUGAUCGGCUGCCAUCUUAUGGCAUUGUUUAGCUGAGUUUCGCUUUCCAGAAAAAACACCCGCUUCUUGUAAAUCAUGUGUAUUCUGUGGAGCCAUAAUUGUGGCCUUGUACAGUUAUCCUUGAGAUUGUUUUUCAUCCUUGAAGCUGUUUUUACUUUCAUAUUAUUGCCUGAUAUAAGUGUGAGAGCCAUCUGGCAGAGAGUAGUAGUAGUAGUAGUAGAGUAGUAGUAGAAGUAAAAGAAGAAUAAAGAAGAAAUCUGUUUGAAUCUGAGCAUGACUCAGUGUGUUUACUCUCGGUGAAUCCUCUCAGGUUUGGGGCCUGCUGGCAGGACCCCGACGUCGCGGCUCGCAACACCAGUUCCAAUGAAUCCUUGUUCUGGACAAUAAAGUCUCCACUUGUGCACCAAGACACAUCCUGGAGUUUUCUCUGCUGCUCUAGUGUUGGGGUCCCAAUUCGGUCUCCAGAUUGGAAACCCAGCUUCAAGCUGUUCAGGGAUAGUGGUGGAUCUAUAAGUGUGCCUGUAACCAUAAGUAGGUGGAGCAGCAGAGAAGGGAGAAUACCUGGACCAAAAGGUUAUUCUCAUAAACAAUAUGCUGGAAAACCUGCAUGGUCAAACAAUAUGAAUACAUUUUGUAUACCAGAUAUGAAUUCUUAUGUCCUGAAAUGUAGCUUUGUAUCAAUAGGAUCU